GCGGGGUGGAGCAGUUCGGUAGCUCGUCGGGCUCAUAACCCGAAGGUCAUAGGUUCAAAUCCUGUCCCCGCUACCAA
Molecule: transfer RNA, 77 nt
Filed under: Bathymodiolus azoricus thioautotrophic gill symbiont
Lineage: Bacteria; Pseudomonadati; Pseudomonadota; Gammaproteobacteria
Description: tRNA-Met
Rfam family: tRNA
About the family: Transfer RNA (tRNA) molecules are approximately 80 nucleotides in length. Their secondary structure includes four short double-helical elements and three loops (D, anti-codon, and T loops). Further hydrogen bonds mediate the characteristic L-shaped molecular structure. tRNAs have two regions of fundamental functional importance: the anti-codon, which is responsible for specific mRNA codon recognition, and the 3' end, to which the tRNAs corresponding amino acid is attached (by aminoacyl-tRNA synthetases). tRNAs cope with the degeneracy of the genetic code in two manners: having more than one tRNA (with a specific anti-codon) for a particular amino acid; and 'wobble' base-pairing, i.e. permitting non-standard base-pairing at the 3rd anti-codon position.
Source: RNAcentral